This is a non-coding RNA of Cinara cedri, 414 nucleotides long. The record is from the annotation of a GenBank genome assembly. Lineage: Eukaryota; Metazoa; Arthropoda; Insecta; Hemiptera; Aphididae.
UUUUUUUUUCAAAUAACAAUAUUGUAGGUAUUAUUCGCGCUGAAGCCGGGCGCCACAAAGUUAACAAAACGUUCAACAAUUUCAAUUCCGACUUUUUGGAAAAAUGUUUGGUAUGUAUGGUUAUGUUAUGAGUUAUGACGAACGCCGCUCAGUUAGAUGUAAAGUUCAUAAAACUUGUCUGACAUUAUAAUUACUUAUGCAUCACAGCGGUUUGUUGGAAAACGUUAAACGAAAUCGGAAGCUGUAUAUUACAGAUGCGUAGAAACUAUUUUUCUUAUGGGGGAGAGGGGACACAAAAAUAUAGAUGUAACGUUCCACGGUUACUCCGUCUGUAUUUCCUGAGACUCGUUUUCCCCAUUAUAAGCGUGUAGGGGAAAGGUUCAUCUCCUCUAUCUAUGUUUUUUUUUUUUUUUU